GCCCCGUUGGCUCAGUGGUAAAGCGUGUCACUAGUACUCGACGUCAUGACAAGAUCACUGGUUCGAUUCCAGUACGGGGCA
RNAcentral lists this transfer RNA (81 nucleotides) under Metarhizium rileyi. Its description in RNAcentral is "tRNA-Thr". It matches the Rfam family "tRNA". From Rfam's summary of the family: Transfer RNA (tRNA) molecules are approximately 80 nucleotides in length. Their secondary structure includes four short double-helical elements and three loops (D, anti-codon, and T loops). The record is from RNAcentral. Lineage: Eukaryota; Fungi; Ascomycota; Sordariomycetes; Hypocreales; Clavicipitaceae.